This 416-nucleotide ribosomal RNA is filed under the name uncultured archaeon. RNAcentral's name for it is "partial 16S ribosomal RNA". It matches the Rfam family "Archaeal small subunit ribosomal RNA", at positions 323 to 746 of the family's 1478-position model. The record is from RNAcentral.
CUACGGGCCGCACCAGGCGCGAAAACUUUACAAUGUGCGAAAGCGCGAUUGGGCAAUUCCUAGUGCUAGCUUGCUAGCUUUUGUAAAGCGUAAAUAACUUUACGAAUAAGUGGGGGGUAAGAUACGUGCCAGCCGCCGCGGUAAUACGUACCCCACUAGUGGUGCUCGCGAUUAUUGGGCCUAAAGCAUCUGUAGCCGGUUAGACAAGUCUUUUGUUAAAUCACCCAGCUCAACUGGUUGGCCGCAAAAGAUACUAUUUAACUAGGGGAAGGUAGACGUUUGAGGUAUUUCUAGGGUACCGGUGAAAUGGGAUAAUCCUAGAAGGACCACCAGUAGCGAAAGCGUCAAACGAGAACUAACCCGACGGUGAGAGAUGAAAGCUGGGGGAGCGACCCGGAUUAGAUACCCCAGUAGUC